ACAUGCAAGUCGAACGAUGACGGUGGUGCUUGCACCGCCUGAUUAGUGGCGAACGGGUGAGUAACACGUGAGUAACCUGCCCUCCACUUCGGGAUAACCUCGGGAAAUCGUGGCUAAUACCGGAUAUGAGCACUCAUCGCAUGGUGGGUGUUGGAAAGAUUUAUCGGUGGGGGAUGGACUCGCGGCCUAUCAGUUUGUUGGUGAGGUGAUGGCUCACCAAGACGAUGACGGGUAGCCGGCCUGAGAGGGCGACCGGCCACACUGGGACUGAGACACGGCCCAGACUCCUACGGGAGGCAGCAGUGGGGAAUAUUGCACAAUGGGCGAAAGCCUGAUGCAGCGACGCCGCGUGGGGGAUGACGGCCUUCGGGUUGUAAACCCCUUUCAGUAGGGAAGAAGCGAGAGUGACGGUACCUGCAGAAGAAGCGCCGGCUAACUACGUGCCAGCAGCCGCGGUAAUACGUAGGGCGCAAGCGUUGUCCGGAAUUAUUGGGCGUAAAGAGCUUGUAGGUGGCUUGUCGCGUCUGCCGUGAAAACCCGAGGCUCAACCUCGGGCGUGCGGUGGGUACGGGCAGGCUAGAGUGUGGUAGGGGAGACUGGAACUCCUGGUGUAGCGGUGAAAUGCGCAGAUAUCAGGAAGAACACCGAUGGCGAAGGCAGGUCUCUGGGCCAUUACUGACACUGAGAAGCGAAAGCAUGGGUAGCGAACAGGAUUAGAUACCCUGGUAGUCCAUGCCGUAA
Molecule: ribosomal RNA, 741 nt
Filed under: Brachybacterium paraconglomeratum
Lineage: Bacteria; Bacillati; Actinomycetota; Actinomycetes; Micrococcales; Dermabacteraceae
Description: bacterial SSU rRNA
Rfam family: Bacterial small subunit ribosomal RNA
Source: RNAcentral